Ceratotherium simum simum (southern white rhinoceros) is the source of this 145-nucleotide non-coding RNA. The record is from RefSeq and is a predicted model, not a curated record. Lineage: Eukaryota; Metazoa; Chordata; Mammalia; Perissodactyla; Rhinocerotidae.
CCCACACCUGAGGAGCCCUGCCCCAAAACUGGGAGAGGAUAGAUUUCUGUUACUUUAAGCCCCAGUUAGUGGUAGUUUGUUACGGCAGCGACAGGAAGUUAAUAUGUUAAGAAAACACCAAAACGUAUCAUCGGAGUCACUUCAG